Molecule: ribosomal RNA, 395 nt
Filed under: uncultured bacterium
Lineage: Bacteria
Description: partial 16S ribosomal RNA
Rfam family: Bacterial small subunit ribosomal RNA
Source: RNAcentral
AUACGUAGGGUGCAAGCGUUAAUCGGAAUUACUGGGCGUAAAGCGUGCGCAGGCGGUUUUGUAAGACAGUGGUGAAAUCCCCGGGCUCAACCUGGGAACUGCCAUUGUGACUGCAAGGCUGGAGUGCGGCAGAGGGGGAUGGAAUUCCGAGUGUAGCAGUGAAAUGCGUAGAUAUGCGGAGGAACACCGAUGGCGAAGGCAAUCCCCUGGGCCUGCACUGACGCUCAUGCACGAAAGCGUGGGGAGCAAACAGGAUUAGAUACCCUGGUAGUCCACGCCCUAAACGAUGUCAACUGGUUGUUGGGGAUUUAUUUUCUCAGUAACGAAGCUAACGCGUGAAGUUGACCGCCUGGGGAGUACGGCCGCAAGGUUAAAACUCAAAUGAAUUGGCGGGG